CGUAGGGUGCGAGCGUUGUCCGGAAUUAUUGGGCGUAAAGGGCUCGUAGGCGGUUUGUCGCGUCGGGAGUGAAAACCAGGUGCUUAACACCUGGCUUGCUUUCGGUACGGGCAGACUAGAGGUAUUCAGGGGAGAACGGAAUUCCUGGUGUAGCGGUGAAAUGCGCAGAUAUCAGGAGGAACACCGGCGGCGAAGGCGGUUCUCUGGGAAUGACCUGACGCUGAGGAGCGAAAGUGUGGGGAGCGAACAGGAUUAGAUACCCUGGUAGUCCACACCGUAAACGUUGGGCGCUAGGUGUGGGGUCCAUUCCACGGAUUCCGUGCCGCAGCUAACGCAUUAAGCGCCCCGCCUGGGGAGUACGGCCGCAAGGCUA
This 373-nucleotide ribosomal RNA is filed under the name uncultured organism. Its description in RNAcentral is "bacterial SSU rRNA". It matches the Rfam family "Bacterial small subunit ribosomal RNA", at positions 526 to 896 of the family's 1533-position model. The record is from RNAcentral.